AGAGUUUGAUCCUGGCUCAGGAUGAACGCUGGCGGCGUGCCUAAUACAUGCAAGUCGAACGAAACUUCUUUAUCACCGAGUGCUUGCACUCACCGAUAAAGAGUUGAGUGGCGAACGGGUGAGUAACACGUGGGCAACCUGCCCAAAAGAGGGGGAUAACACUUGGAAACAGGUGCUAAUACCGCAUAACCAUAGUUACCGCAUGGUAACUAUGUAAAAGGUGGCUAUGCUACCGCUUUUGGAUGGGCCCGCGGCGCAUUAGCUAGUUGGUGGGGUAAAGGCUUACCAAGGCAAUGAUGCGUAGCCGAACUGAGAGGUUGAUCGGCCACAUUGGGACUGAGACACGGCCCAAACUCCUACGGGAGGCAGCAGUAGGGAAUCUUCCACAAUGGGCGAAAGCCUGAUGGAGCAACGCCGCGUGGGUGAAGAAGGUCUUCGGAUCGUAAAACCCUGUUGUUAGAGAAGAAAGUGCGUGAGAGUAACUGUUCACGUUUCGACGGUAUCUAACCAGAAAGCCACGGCUAACUACGUGCCAGCAGCCGCGGUAAUACGUAGGUGGCAAGCGUUAUCCGGAUUUAUUGGGCGUAAAGGGAACGCAGGCGGUCUUUUAAGUCUGAUGUGAAAGCCUUCGGCUUAACCGGAGUAGUGCAUUGGAAACUGGGAGACUUGAGUGCAGAAGAGGAGAGUGGAACUCCAUGUGUAGCGGUGAAAUGCGUAGAUACAUGGAAGAACACCAGUGGCGAAAGCGGCUCUCUGGUCUGUAACUGACGCUGAGGUUCGAAAGCGUGGGUAGCAAACAGGAUUAGAUACCCUGGUAGUCCACGCCGUAAACGAUGAAUGCUAAGUGUUGGAGGGUUUCCGCCCUUCAGUGCUGCAGCUAACGCAAUAAGCAUUCCGCCUGGGGAGUACGACCGCAAGGUUGAAACUCAAAGGAAUUGACGG
This 942-nucleotide ribosomal RNA is filed under the name uncultured bacterium. RNAcentral describes it as "bacterial SSU rRNA". It matches the Rfam family "Bacterial small subunit ribosomal RNA", at positions 8 to 916 of the family's 1533-position model. The record is from RNAcentral.